AAUAGUGCUAUUGAGAAAGAAAAUUAUGAAAGCAACAACAAUGAUAUGGAGAUCAUUGUCUUUAUAUUUAUGUCAACUAAAAAGAAAUAAUGACAUUUGCUAAUGCCAUUGUAGAUUUUGUUGUUGUUGUUGUUGUGUAUUCCCAGUGCUCAUCUCAUGGGCCAGAAAUGGCUGUUGUUACUAGAAAUGAUGGAAGGAAAGGUAAAGCAAGUGUGCGUUUACCAUUUUAAGUAGCCUGAUGUUGCAGAUUAUAGUGUAAAAAUAUGGUAAUUCUAGUCAAAGUUUGGGGGAGAGAUUUGAGUUUGGUUUGUUUUAAAUUCAGGAAAUCAGCUCAAAUAGGCAUUGGACUUUCAUUUAGAAGCAUGUCAUUCUUGAAAUUUUCUGUCUCCCAAAAAAGCAGCAGUGUUGGGUGUUUUCAGCUCAAAUCACCCCUUUGUUCUGAUGGCAAGCAUUUCUCUGGGUGCUUAGCUGCAUCAUACACCAUGUCGGCUGUGGGGCAGCAGCCCUGAGCAAGAUGAAGUUUGUAAUCUUAAAGAGCACAGGGUCUGGUUGGGGGCUGGAGGAGGUAGAGACUGGAGUAAACAGGAGUAAACAGGCAUAGUUACUGGAGUAAACAGGCAUAGUUACUGUAGGAUUCAGAUAUGGUUAGGAUUCUAAGUGAGUACAUAAGGAGGCCCUUGACCCAGCCUGGGAGGGAGGAAGGCACUUGUGAGAGAUUAUUCUUGAACUGACUCUUGAAGGAUAAAUAAGAAUUAGCUUAAUACAGAUGAAGGAAGAGGAGGAGUGUUUGGGAAACAAUGUGUAGAAAGAGAAAGGCUUGGUGUCUCAGAGUAGGGCACAAAGCUAAAGGAGGGCAUGGGAAGAAGGUGGAAAAGGGAAGAGAUGAAUUGGCAGGUUGGCAGAAUCCAUAUCACCAAGGGGGGCCUGUGUUUCAUGAAAACAUUUGGAAACCUGUUUGCAAUAGGGUGAAAUUCAAAGCAGAGCUGGGUAUGGUGACACAUGCCUAUAAUCCCAGUGACUCUGGAGGCUGAGGCAGGAGGAUUGCAAGUUCACGGCCAGGUAUAGCAACUUAGGCCCUGUCUCGAAGUUUAAAAUAAAAAAUAAAAAGGUUUGGGUAUGUGGCUCAGAGGUUAAGUGCCUCUCAGUUCAAUCUCUGGAAUGAAAUAAAUAAAUAAAAAGGGCUAAGGAUGUUGAGUGCCCCUGAGUUUGAUCCCUAGUAAUGACCCCCCCCCCCAAAAAAAAAAAGAAGGUUGAAAGUAAUUCAUUCAAAGCUAUGUAGCAUUAUAUAGGCUAAAUAGGAUUAUAUUGGAAGCUUUGUAUUUCCAGUGGUGAUGAGGAUUAAAAUAAAGUAGAGAUAAAAAUGAUAUUUGAAUAUAUUAGAAGUGGAAAGUUAACUUCACUGGUAAUUAACUAAAUGCUGUGGGUCAAGGAGACAGAAGAGUUAAAAGACUAUAUCAGAUUUCUGUCUAGGGCAAGUAGUGAAAAGGAAACACACAGGUGAUCACAUUUUGGUGAAGGGAGAUGGAAAGACAUGCUUCCUUUCCUUAAUGAAAAAGGAGCGAUGAGAUGUGCCAUCAUCUGUGCCCACAGCUGGAUAUGGUGUGGAAGCUUUGGAGUUUGUAUUUCUUCUUGGAAUUGUUUUUGAAACUUUGUCAUCCACACCUUUAUUUUUGCUAACCUAUUAUUUUGAUAAGAAGGAAUCUAGUCCAUUCAUGUUGCUUUGAUAAAAUACCUUGUACCAGGUAUUUAAAGCAACAGCCAUUUUUUUCCCUCAUAGUUCUGUAGGCUGGGAAGUCCCAGAUCAAGGCACUAGCUGAUUCAGAAUCAGUGAAGGCCUUCAUCCUGAACCAUAGAUGGCUAUCUUUUCCUGUACUCUUGUGUAGCAGAAGAGGCAGGGCAGUUCUCUAGGGCCUCUCAUAAAGGCAUUCAUGAGGUCUCAUUUAUGAUGGCAGCCCUUGUGAUCUCAGCACCUCUUAUAGGGCUUCACUCCGACGAUCACUUUGGACAUUAGGAUGUAAAAUGUGAAUUUUGGGGGAACACAAAC
This 2044-nucleotide long non-coding RNA is filed under the name Marmota monax (woodchuck). The record is from RNAcentral. Lineage: Eukaryota; Metazoa; Chordata; Mammalia; Rodentia; Sciuridae.